AGAUAGAGCGUGAUCAAGGGAUGAUGAAGCAUCUUAGGACUAGCAACAGCGGGGGACCUUGCACGGCUUCCAGACUUGAAGGGCAAAAGGGGAGAAGUGGCCACCAGAGAUUCUUGCUGUUACUGUGGGAGAGAGCUGCCUGACAAACUGAGGCGUUCGCGGGGAACCAAAGCUACUGAUGCUUUCUGGCACAAUGCUGAUUUCCCAAUAGGGAAUUAUUGCUGCCACACCCAUAACCUACAACAGAGGUUCUCCCUUGACCAGGAGCAUCAGCAUCACCUAUGGACUUGGCCAGAAAUGUCCACCCUUAGACUCCGUUCCCUAGUUCAGAAAUAGGCAGUGUAAGACUGGCGUGGCACUCCACCAUUAUCUUGGACCUGGUAUCCUGUCUGCUCUGCCACAUGUAACGUGUGUGACUAACAAUCUUCGCUGUGGUCCAACAUGGCUAGCAGGGCUCAGGCUCAUACGUCUGGCAGGAGGAAGGAAGUGAGGAAGAACAAAAAAGGCCUGGGCCAGCUGUCUGGUGCUCUGUCAAGGAGCAUUUCUAGAAGUGUCACCUGACACUUCCACUUGUGUGUCAUUGAUCAGACCUUAGUCACAUCGACACAACAAGGUUGGAUGAGAAAUACAGUCUUUUGUCUCAGCAGUUUCAUCCCUUGCAUAAAAUCAUGGUUGUACAGAACAGAUAUUGGGACGGCAGCUACCCAUCUCUGGCAUAAAUGCCAGUUUCAGAAGUAAGUAAGAAUGAAGUAUGUCUGAUGGAAAUAAACAUAAAAUCAAAGAUCAACAGGAGACAAACUAAAAUGGCUACCAAAAUGAAUGUGAACACACCCCAGAAGAGAACUGGAAAACAAAAUGUCCCCUAGCCCCAUGUGAACUGUGAGCUCCAGAAGGAAGAGACCCUGUGUGCCUCAUCUCCAGUUCUGGGCUUGGCAUUCAGUAGGCAUUUGAUAGAAGUUGGCUAACUGAACAAGAGUGCAUAAGAAGAUGCUGAGUAAUCUAGAAGAAGAGACUCCAAGUUCUUCAGCUUUUGGACUCCUGGACUUACACCAGUGAUCUGCCAGGGGCUCUCGGGCCUGCAGCCGCAGAUUGAAUGCUGCACUGUCAACUUCCCUACUUUUGAUGUUUUGGGACACAAGACUGGUUUCCUUGCUCCUCUGCUUGCAGAUGGCCUAUUGUGGGACUUCACCCUGGGAUCGUGCCAACUGGAAAUGAGAAUAGAAGCAUCUCUGAGUGAACACUUGACAUAGGACACUGGAAGAAGCAGUGCACACUGAUGGAAUGGGCAAGUGGUUCAUGCCAGAAGAUAAAGGACUUAACAUACCAGAAGCAGGCUCCAAAAUGUGUUUCAUCUCCUCUAAAGAGGUAAGGACCAAACAUUCUACAUAUGGGAAAAUGUGAGCAUUAAUAGAAACGAGUUGCUCCAACAAUAUAAAGACACCUACUGCACCAGGACCUCCCCCUGGCAAAGACUCUGAGGGCCAUGGUCUGAGUUUACCAUCCAAGAAAGCCCAGUGAAGAGGGCUGCCUGCUGCGAGGCCUGCAGACAUGGUCUAGGGAAGAGAAAUGGACUGAAGAGCGGCCCAGCACUGCCAACUCUCACCGGCUCCAUCCCACCUGGCUGCCUGCAUUUGUCCUUCAGGACCAGCCUCAUUCCUGCACAGUGCCUUUGCCUAUGCUCCUCUGCCUCUCCAAAAGUCUUUUUAUUUCCUCAUCUUUCAAAAUCUCAGGUUUUGUAUAGGUGCCAGUUCCUUUUGAAAAGCUUUCUAAUUCAUCCAACACACAUUUCUCUUCCCUAAAUGCUAUUAUUUACUCUCUGUAGCACACAUGAAGUCUGCAGCUUACCUUUAGGUCCAAAAGUUAUGCUGCUAAUGAAUUCAGCCAGUCAUUUUACCUGUGUGUUUUAUUGUUUAUAAGCAAGCCACAUUAUGUCUGCUUUGGGAGUAAAAUAUAACAACUGUAAAAUAACUUUUGCCAUGUUCCUUAUUACUCCUUUGCUAUGUUCCAUUCAUUCCUUUAAAGAAUAAAGUGCUUGUAUGCAGAUAUAUGUUUUCAAGAUUCUUUUGUAUCCUUCCUGUGAUCACAUAUACCACCUCUACCC
Molecule: long non-coding RNA, 2101 nt
Organism: Rhinopithecus roxellana (golden snub-nosed monkey)
Lineage: Eukaryota; Metazoa; Chordata; Mammalia; Primates; Cercopithecidae
Exons: 7
Source: RefSeq, a predicted model, not a curated record